Molecule: small RNA, 110 nt
Filed under: Marmota monax (woodchuck)
Lineage: Eukaryota; Metazoa; Chordata; Mammalia; Rodentia; Sciuridae
Source: RNAcentral
GCUGGGUAUUGUGGUGCAUGCCUGUAAUCCCAAUGACUCAGGAGGCUGAGGCAGGAGGACUGCAAAUUUGAGGUCAGUAUUAGAAACUUAGCCUCCGAAUCUUGUCUCAU